This 680-nucleotide ribosomal RNA is filed under the name uncultured Gammaproteobacteria bacterium. Its description in RNAcentral is "bacterial SSU rRNA". It matches the Rfam family "Bacterial small subunit ribosomal RNA", at positions 33 to 692 of the family's 1533-position model. Lineage: Bacteria; Pseudomonadati; Pseudomonadota; Gammaproteobacteria. The record is from RNAcentral.
ACGCUGGCGGCAGGCCUAACACAUGCAAGUCGAGCGGAAACGACAACAUUGAAUCUUCGGAGGAUUUGUUGGGCGUCGAGCGGCGGACGGGUGAGUAAUGCCUAGGAAAUUGCCUUGAUGUGGGGGAUAACCAUUGGAAACGAUGGCUAAUACCGCAUAAUGCCUACGGGCCAAAGAGGGGGACCUUCGGGCCUCUCGCGUCAAGAUAUGCCUAGGUGGGAUCAGCUAGUUGGUGAGGUAAUGGCUCACCAAGGCGACGAUCCCUAGCUGGUCUGAGAGGAUGAUCAGCCACACUGGAACUGAGACACGGUCCAGACUCCUACGGGAGGCAGCAGUGGGGAAUAUUGCACAAUGGGCGAAAGCCUGAUGCAGCCAUGCCGCGUGUAUGAAGAAGGCCUUCGGGUUGUAAAGUACUUUCAGUUGUGAGGAAGGGUGUGUAGUUAAUAGCUGCACAUCUUGACGUUAGCAACAGAAGAAGCACCGGCUAACUCCGUGCCAGCAGCCGCGGUAAUACGGAGGGUGCGAGCGUUAAUCGGAAUUACUGGGCGUAAAGCGCAUGCAGGUGGUUCAUUAAGUCAGAUGUGAAAGCCCGGGGCUCAACCUCGGAACUGCAUUUGAAACUGGUGAACUAGAGUGCUGUAGAGGGGGGUAGAAUUUCAGGUGUAGCGGUGAAAUGCGUA